GACGAACGCUGGCGGCGUGCCUAAUACAUGCAAGUUGAGCGAUGAAGAUUGGUGCUUGCCCCAAUUUGAAGAGCAGCGAACGGGUGAGUAACGCGUGGGGAAUCUGCCUUUGAGCGGGGGACAACAUUUGGAAACGAAUGCUAAUACCGCAUAACAACUUUAAACAUAAGUUUUAAGUUUGAAAGAUGCAAUUGCAUCACUCAAAGAUGAUCCCGCGUUGUAUUAGCUAGUUGGUGAGGUAAAGGCUCACCAAGGCGAUGAUACAUAGCCGACCUGAGAGGGUGAUCGGCCACAUUGGGACUGGGACACGGCCCAAACUCCUACGGGAGGCAGCAGUAGGGAAUCUUCGGCAAUGGACGAAAGUCUGACCGAGCAACGCCGCGUGAGUGAAGAAGGGUUUCGGAUCGUAAAACUCUGUUGGUAGAGAAGAACGUUGGUGAGAGUGGAAAGCUCAUCAAGUGACGGUAACUACACAGAAAGGGACGGCUAACUACGUG
This 497-nucleotide ribosomal RNA is filed under the name uncultured bacterium. RNAcentral's name for it is "partial 16S ribosomal RNA". It matches the Rfam family "Bacterial small subunit ribosomal RNA", at positions 28 to 507 of the family's 1533-position model. The record is from RNAcentral.